CGCACAAGCAGUGGAGUAUGUGGUUUAAUUCGAAGCAACGCGAAGAACCUUACCAGGUCUUGACAUCCCUCUGACCGGUACAGAGAUGUACCUUUCCUUCGGGACAGAGGAGACAGGUGGUGCAUGGUUGUCGUCAGCUCGUGUCGUGAGAUGUUGGGUUAAGUCCCGCAACGAGCGCAACCCUUAUAUUUAGUUGCCAGCACUUCGGGUGGGCACUCUAGAUAGACUGCCGGUGACAAACCGGAGGAAGGUGGGGAUGACGUCAAAUCAUCAUGCCCCUUAUGACCUGGGCUACACACGUACUACAAUGGCCGGUACAACGGGCUGCGAAAUCGCGAGAUGGAGCCAAUCCCAACAAAGCCGGUCUCAGUUCGGAUUGCAGGCUGCAACUCGCCUGCAUGAAGUCGGAAUUGCUAGUAAUCGCGGAUCAGCAUGCCGCGGUGAAUACGUUCCCGGGUCUUGUACACACCGCCCGUCACACCACGAGAGUUUAUAACACCCGAAGUCGGU
This 510-nucleotide ribosomal RNA is filed under the name Paenibacillus sp. HDL52. Its description in RNAcentral is "bacterial SSU rRNA". It matches the Rfam family "Bacterial small subunit ribosomal RNA", at positions 922 to 1431 of the family's 1533-position model. Lineage: Bacteria; Bacillati; Bacillota; Bacilli; Caryophanales; Paenibacillaceae. The record is from RNAcentral.